UACGAAGGGGGCUAGCGUUGCUCGGAAUUACUGGGCGUAAAGGGAGCGUAGGCGGGUUAUCAAGUUGGAGGUGAAAGCCCAGGGCUCAACCUUGGAAUUGCCUUCAAAACUGAUAGCCUAGAGUAUGAUAGAGGUAAGUGGAACUCCGAGUGUAGAGGUGAAAUUCGUAGAUAUUCGGAAGAACACCAGUGGCGAAGGCGACACACUGGGCCAUUACUGACGCUGAGGCGCGAAAGCGUGGGGAGCAAACAGG
Molecule: ribosomal RNA, 253 nt
Filed under: uncultured bacterium
Lineage: Bacteria
Description: partial 16S ribosomal RNA
Rfam family: Bacterial small subunit ribosomal RNA
Source: RNAcentral